Molecule: ribosomal RNA, 1420 nt
Filed under: Pediococcus pentosaceus
Lineage: Bacteria; Bacillati; Bacillota; Bacilli; Lactobacillales; Lactobacillaceae
Description: bacterial SSU rRNA
Rfam family: Bacterial small subunit ribosomal RNA
Source: RNAcentral
CUUCCGUUAAUUGAUUAUGACGUACUUGUACUGAUUGAGAUUUUAACACGAAGUGAGUGGCGAACGGGUGAGUAACACGUGGGUAACCUGCCCAGAAGUAGGGGAUAACACCUGGAAACAGAUGCUAAUACCGUAUAACAGAGAAAACCGCAUGGUUUUCUUUUAAAAGAUGGCUCUGCUAUCACUUCUGGAUGGACCCGCGGCGUAUUAGCUAGUUGGUGAGGUAAAGGCUCACCAAGGCAGUGAUACGUAGCCGACCUGAGAGGGUAAUCGGCCACAUUGGGACUGAGACACGGCCCAGACUCCUACGGGAGGCAGCAGUAGGGAAUCUUCCACAAUGGACGCAAGUCUGAUGGAGCAACGCCGCGUGAGUGAAGAAGGGUUUCGGCUCGUAAAGCUCUGUUGUUAAAGAAGAACGUGGGUAAGAGUAACUGUUUACCCAGUGACGGUAUUUAACCAGAAAGCCACGGCUAACUACGUGCCAGCAGCCGCGGUAAUACGUAUGUGGCAAGCGUUAUCCGGAUUUAUUGGGCGUAAAGCGAGCGCAGGCGGUCUUUUAAGUCUAAUGUGAAAGCCUUCGGCUCAACCGAAGAAGUGCAUUGGAAACUGGGAGACUUGAGUGCAGAAGAGGACAGUGGAACUCCAUGUGUAGCGGUGAAAUGCGUAGAUAUAUGGAAGAACACCAGUGGCGAAGGCGGCUGUCUGGUCUGCAACUGACGCUGAGGCUCGAAAAGCAUGGGUAGCGAACAGGAUUAGAUACCCUGGUAGUCCAUGCCGUAAACGAUGAUUACUAAGUGUUGGAGGGUUUCCGCCCUUCAGUGCUGCAGCUAACGCAUUAAGUAAUCCGCCUGGGGAGUACGACCGCAAGGUUGAAACUCAAAAGAAUUGACGGGGGCCCGCACAAGCGGUGGAGCAUGUGGUUUAAUUCGAAGCUACGCGAAGAACCUUACCAGGUCUUGACAUCUUCUGACAGUCUAAGAGAUUAGAGGUUCCCUUCGGGGACAGAAUGACAGGUGGUGCAUGGUUGUCGUCAGCUCGUGUCGUGAGAUGUUGGGUUAAGUCCCGCAACGAGCGCAACCCUUAUUACUAGUUGCCAGCAUUAAGUUGGGCACUCUAGUGAGACUGCCGGUGACAAACCGGAGGAAGGUGGGGACGACGUCAAAUCAUCAUGCCCCUUAUGACCUGGGCUACACACGUGCUACAAUGGAUGGUACAACGAGUCGCGAGACCGCGAGGUUAAGCUAAUCUCUUAAAACCAUUCUCAGUUCGGACUGUAGGCUGCAACUCGCCUACACGAAGUCGGAAUCGCUAGUAAUCGCGGAUCAGCAUGCCGCGGUGAAUACGUUCCCGGGCCUUGUACACACCGCCCGUCACACCAUGAGAGUUUGUAACACCCAAAGCCGGUGGGGUAACCUUUUAG